Non-coding RNA from Pogona vitticeps (central bearded dragon), 612 nucleotides. Lineage: Eukaryota; Metazoa; Chordata; Lepidosauria; Squamata; Agamidae. The record is from RefSeq and is a predicted model, not a curated record.
AGCAACGGCUGGGCCCCAAAUACCAAACCCAGUGUGUGUGUGUUGCUGACGAAGCCAAGAUCUCCGUGGCUUCGGGACUUUUCGAGCGUGUGGCAGACUUCCAUGGCGGGCCUCUUCGCCCCAGGAACACACCCUCCCCUGCAAAGGAGCAAGAGGCCUGAAAGGCACUUUUCUCAUUAACAAUUCCGGCCACGCAGGAGACUGGAAGGCUUGGGCCACCAGGGGGCACUGCUGAUGCCACGGAGUCCAGCUACCAGCUUCUCACAACCCUUAGCCAUGCUGGCUGGGGCAGAUGGGAGCUGUAGUCCAAUGGGACACCAGGAAGGCUGCCGUUUGUCCAUCAACACAUGGCAUCCUCCAGAGAACCUCCCGUCACCGAAACCACGUGGAGAGGCAAAAGUUCCCAAAUAGAUGUCCAAAUCCACAGGCUAAAUCUGAGACAUUCUGCCAUCCCGACAAGGACGUCCCACUAAGUUAAGCAGAAGACAGGAUAUUUUAGCAGCCAGCGAGGAAGCAAGAAAGAAAGGAAGUAGGGGAAAACUUGCAAGCUGGUGCAGGGCAUUCAAAAUGCUCUGGGACAAGUGAACAUGGACUGGCUGUCAUUCUUCAGAA